GAGAAGGAGAACAAGGAGCGAUUGCUAUCUUAGCAGUAAGGGAACAAGAAAGUUUCUGGAAAGGCGUAACAGUGAUGAAUGCUCCCCAGAGGUCAAGGUGGGGACUGAAUUCUUUGGGUUCAACAAUUAGAAGGCCGCUCUUUACCUCGGUGUCAGUAGUCGCAGGUAGGCGUGGUGAUGGUGGAAACCAGGUUGCGGUGGUUAACGGGGCUGGAAGGCAAGACAUGGAUGAAAGAAGAAUGAGAUAAAGAACCAGAUUUGCCCUGAGUUAACAUCUGUGCCACUCUUUCUCUACUUUGUAUGUAGAGGCUGCCCACGAGUGGCGUAGGUUCACACACCUGGGAACUGAACCUGGGCCACCGAAGCAGAGCAUGCCUAAGGGGUUACAGCAUAUAUUCCUGAAAUUCUGGAUGGUGGAAAUCCUUGCCCUCUAAAAGCAGAAGUCCCUCUGGGUGCAGACUGAUGCUUCCCUUCAAAUCUGGAGCUGGAGAAGUUUCGUCAUGGAGAAAGAGCCCUCUCCCACCUGCGCCCAGCGCUUUUGACUUUGAAUCACCUCAAGGUGAAGGACGAUAAUUAGUAUACUUACUUAACGCAGGUCUGGCUUAUUACCUUCUGAACGGGGUGGGGGCCGUUUCCUCCCUUGCCUGUGUGGGUUGGAAGGACAGCCUGGGAUGGAUGUCAUCUGCUCCUUGAUGUAAGGAAGGGAGACUAACACAAGGCGUUAAAAACAUCUUUUUCCUUACUUCACUCGACUCCUUGCAUCUGUCACAGACCCUGCCAGGCUGACAGAACAUUACACAAAUAACUCUCCUUCUUAAGCAGCGACGAGGCAGCAGUAGGCAUUUUUUCAUUUAGAGUCUAUCAACUGAGAAUUGAUAAAGUCAUCACAGAACAGCUGUAGUUUGACCCUGACCUGACAAAGGAGAUCGAAAAUGUCUCCUGCGGAGAGAAGCGAGGGGGCUGGGAACAUCCGUUGGCUCAGAAAGAAGCUGCAAGUCGGCUGAGGGCUGACACCCAGGCACUCCGCCGAGUGUGUUUAAUAACUGAGAAGUAAAUAAAGAAAGGGCAGUCAAUAAACAAUCGCGGGUUAAUAAAUUAUUCAUCUUAACAAUACUUCCAGUGUUUGCCCAGAGAAAGGAGACCGUCUUCAGGUUUUCUUCCAACCUGCUCGCCUGCUCUGAAGCAGCCUGGCUGCGGAGCUGUUCACAUUCUGGACAGCAGAGGGAGCUCGUGUUACAUCUAAGACACGGCCGGACUGGAACCUUCCAGUGCCUCUCCGUGUUUGUGAAGGAGAGGAAGAUGGAAAAGAUAGGAAAGUGUUGAGAAGAGGUAGAGAGGAAAAUAGAAAACAAGUGGAUAGGCACGGAAAUGGAAAAAGAC
Molecule: long non-coding RNA, 1380 nt
Filed under: Equus asinus (donkey)
Lineage: Eukaryota; Metazoa; Chordata; Mammalia; Perissodactyla; Equidae
Description: lncRNA (ENSEASG00005037433.1)
Source: RNAcentral